ACUGUUGACAUUUCGUCUUUUGUCAAAGUUAGUGUAACCUGUCGACGACUGUCACAGAGAUGGAAAGUCGUCCGGAGUUCCAUCGUCUUAUAUACUGCGAAAAGGACUCACAACUUGUCACUCAAGUUCAGAUUUCAGGGUUCCGCCCGAGGAAGCAGCCACACAGACUCCGAAAGCAGAAGAGCAGAGUUUAAACUAACCUUUUGCGCAGGUUUUUGUCAACAGCCAAUCUGACCGCGGUUCAUCAACCGCGAACGGAGCACUUCCAUCUCUGCGGAAUUCAAGUUUAUGAGAGUUUACUGGAAUCCAAACCGAUCGCACAGUUGAAUGGAAAGUGGUAAAUCAUGUCCGCACUCUCACUGGCACUUUCUGCUUUUAUCUGAUUUGUCAGCCAUUUUCACGGAAAAGCGAACGACAUUAACGCAACAUCACUUUGCUAAAAAGUUUGGCGCAUUUCAAACUUACAUCCAUUACCAGUCAAAUGUAAGGGACUCAGCAGCGCAAGGCGUCACCAUUCGAGAUGUUAUCCUGUGACCAUUAAAACCAAUAAAAGCUUAGAGUGCCAGCCAGGUCGAUGAAAAUGAUAAUUUUUUUCUGGAAUAAAGGAAUUUAAGGAGCGGAAGCAAGUUCCUGAAUAAAGACGUCCAGUGGCGGAGUAGUUUUUCCAGCCGAGCAGGGGGCCUUCCGGCACAUCCAGUGGAAGAUACGUGGACUAAAGAAGUCGCCAAAAUUGAAAUAGGAUAAAUGAGCAUUCGACUGGUGGAAUCGGGAAUAACGAACUCUGCUGGGAAAACAAGUCGAGGACAUGCAUUUCAACCUUUGGAUUUUUGUCUGGCGGCCGCUUAUUCAUCUUCUUGAUAUUGGUGUAAACGACUAAACUGCUCAAGGCUUCCAACAGCAGAUUUGAAUAUUGUCUAUUUGGAAUCACCUAUGCCAUCUUCUGGGACUGAAAAGAAUGAAGUCUGAAUAGGAAGGCGGUCGAGUUGCAUAAAUUGGCAACGCCGUUUCCACCAAAGUACGUCUGCAUCAUUGUUGGACAUGAACGUCUGCAUCACUGUUGGACAUGAAUGUGUGGUGCUGGUGCAUGGUGUGGUGAUUUACACUUAUUUAUCGUUACAGCCUUGCAGCAUGUACCGGCUGUACGUUUCGUCACAUGGAAAAAAAACUACAGAUGAACAAUAACAACAAGAUGAACAAUAAAACCUGGUGAAAUCUGAGCUUCUUCAUUGCAGUCCGAUGUGCACAUGGAUUUGUUGCAGCCAGCUGGCGGAAGGUGUUCCUCUUUGAGGCUUGCUACCUGUAGUGGUUGUAGCUUUCAUUACAUGCAGAAACACUACAGAACAAUUUAAAGUUUAUCCUGUAUUGUUCCCGUAGUUGCUGUCCGAUGUCGUUGUUGCAGCCUAUGCUGGUGAAAAAUCAUUUUUGCAUCAAGUUAAACUGGUUCUUCCUUGGUUCUAGUGUCGUGUUACGGAAGUUGAAUCAUUAUUUUGUUAAAUUGUCAUUGUAUCUGCAGUCUACCGUUGUAUGUUCAGAAAGAACAAAAACAGAAAUAUGGGGAUGUGUUAAGUAAAACAAAUAAUAAACAUGUUUUUGGGAUUGGGAAAGGAAAGUGGAGGAUGUUGGAGGGGGGAGGAUAUUUCAAGUUUGGAUAAAAAAUCUGUUAAUCUAAAACCCUACAAACAUAUCCCUAUUACCUAACUAAUCUCUAAACCCCACAAACAUAUACCUUCCAAUUCUUCAAACCCCCACAACCUCCAAAUUUAUAACCUAAACCCCAUGAAACCAAUGCUAAACUUUAACAAUGUAAUAACUGUAAUAAAUAAAAACAAAUAUAUGAUUUGAA
Molecule: long non-coding RNA, 1843 nt
Filed under: Daphnia pulex (common water flea)
Lineage: Eukaryota; Metazoa; Arthropoda; Branchiopoda; Diplostraca; Daphniidae
Description: uncharacterized LOC124205612, transcript variant X7
Source: RNAcentral